UGGCUGAAUGGUUAAAGCGCCCAACUCAUAAUUGGUAAAAUUGCGGGUUCAAUUCCUGC
RNAcentral lists this transfer RNA (59 nucleotides) under Triticum urartu. It matches the Rfam family "tRNA", at positions 8 to 63 of the family's 71-position model. Rfam says of the family: Transfer RNA (tRNA) molecules are approximately 80 nucleotides in length. Their secondary structure includes four short double-helical elements and three loops (D, anti-codon, and T loops). Lineage: Eukaryota; Viridiplantae; Streptophyta; Magnoliopsida; Poales; Poaceae. The record is from Rfam by way of RNAcentral.